CGCUCGGUGGGGCAGACGAGCUUGGCCCGGCGGUCGGCCGGGUCGGGCCUGCGUUCCACGUAGCCGAGCGCC
RNAcentral lists this transfer RNA (72 nucleotides) under Kutzneria sp. CA-103260. RNAcentral's name for it is "tRNA-Asp". Lineage: Bacteria; Bacillati; Actinomycetota; Actinomycetes; Pseudonocardiales; Pseudonocardiaceae. The record is from RNAcentral.